UAAGCGGAGGAAAAGAAACUAACAAGGAUUCCCCUAGUAACUGCGAGUGAAGCGGGAAAAGCUCAAAUUUAAAAUCUGGUGGUCUUUGGCCAUNCGAGUUGUAAUUUAGAGAAGCGUCUUCCGCGCUGGACCGUGCACAAGUCUCCUGGAAUGGAGCGUCACAGAGGGUGAGAAUCCCGUCUUUGGCAUGGACAUACCAGGGCUUUUGUGAUGCGCUCUCGAAGAGUCGAGUUGUCUGGGAAUGCAGCUCAAAAUGGGUGGUGAACUCCAUCUAAAGCUAAAUAUUGGCGAGAGACCGAUAGCGAACAGGUACCGUGAGGGAAAGAUGAAAAGCACUUUGGAAAGAGAGUGAAACAGUACGUGAAAUUGUUGAAAGGGAAACGCUUGAAGUCAGUCGCGUCGACCGAGACUCAGCCUCGCCUCGGCUUGGUGUACUUCUCGGCUGACGGGUCAGCAUCAAUUUCGCCUCUUGGAUAAUGGCGAGGGAAAUGUGACACCUUUACGGUGUGUUAUAGUCUCUCGUCGCAUGCAAGGGUCGGGAUUGAGGAACUCAGCACGCGCCUUUGGGUGUCGGGGCUUUGCCCACGAUACGUGCUUAGGAUGUUGGCGUAAUGGCUUUAAACGACC
RNAcentral lists this ribosomal RNA (627 nucleotides) under uncultured Russulaceae. Its description in RNAcentral is "LSU rRNA". It matches the Rfam family "Eukaryotic large subunit ribosomal RNA", at positions 47 to 649 of the family's 3401-position model. Lineage: Eukaryota; Fungi; Basidiomycota; Agaricomycetes; Russulales; Russulaceae. The record is from RNAcentral.